UACGGAGGGUGCGAGCGUUGUUCGGAAUUACUGGGCGUAAAGCGCGUGCAGGCGGCCGAUUAAGUCCGGUGUGAAAGCCCGGGGCUCACCCCCGGAAGUGCGCUGGAAACUGGUCGGCUAGAGUACGGGAGAGGGAAGUGGAAUUCCUGGUGUAGCGGUGAAAUGCGUAGAUAUCAGGAGGAACACCGGCGGCGAAGGCGGCUUCCUGGACCGAUACUGACGCUGAGACGCGAAAGCGUGGGGAGCAAACAGGAUUAGAAACCCCCGUAGUCC
RNAcentral lists this ribosomal RNA (273 nucleotides) under uncultured bacterium. RNAcentral's name for it is "partial 16S ribosomal RNA". It matches the Rfam family "Bacterial small subunit ribosomal RNA", at positions 524 to 796 of the family's 1533-position model. The record is from RNAcentral.